Non-coding RNA from Prunus mume (Japanese apricot), 1171 nucleotides. The record is from RefSeq and is a predicted model, not a curated record. NCBI's taxonomy places the organism in Eukaryota, Viridiplantae, Streptophyta, Magnoliopsida, Rosales, Rosaceae.
UCAUUCUCAUCCCCCCCUCUCUCUCUCUCUCUCUCUCUCUCUCUCUCUAACCCCCCUUGAAGAUAGGCGAGACUCUUGGGGGACAGAGAGAUAAAAGAGAUCAGAGAAAGCACACAUAGUCCACAUAUAUAUAGAGACACACAUGAUCGUCAAAAUCAUGGAUUUUGAAGAAGAGGAUAGAUAGAUAUGUGAAGCUUUAGCUUUUGAGGGGAAUGUUGUCUGGCUCGAGGACACUUUUCCUUGAUCUGUAUUUCUUAUAGAUCAACCUGUAUAUUUAUAUCUAGGUAUACAUAUAUAUGGCUUUUGGUGAAUUAGUGUCGUCGGACCAGGCUUCAUUCCCCCCAAUUUAUGGCUUCCAUUGACCUGUUGUUUUUCCACGGCAGAGGGCUUAAUUCUUCACAGUCUUAGAGAUUGGUGUAAUGAUGGAGUAUUUGACUAUUUUUGCCCCUUUUUCAGUUUCAUAGACUGCAUAAAAAGAUCUGGCUUUUUUGGCUUUCUAUUUAAACUUUGCCCAAAGGACAACUAUAACUUUGGGAAAGCGUGUGUGUCUGGUUGUCCAAAAGGAAGCCUGGUCACUUGCCUUUCCUUUGGUAUCUUCUCAGUGGAUAUACCUAUUGAAACCCUAAUCUUGUUCAUCUUUGAUUUGCUGUGAAAGGCUUUGUGAUUCUCAAAGCUUUUAGUCACUCACAUUGUCUUUUCCCCUCCUGACUUUUUGUCCCUUCAUUAUGGUUUUAUUUGACUGACUGUACGCUAGCUAGCUCAGAGUCAAGGGGCUUAGAACACAGCCAUUGCUGAAAACUAAAGGUAUUGAAAAUGCAUAUGCUAGACAAGAACAAGGAGCACUGUGGAGGUAAUCUAGAUGCCCCAAACAAGUUACAAACUACUAAUUUGAUCAAGUUCUUCUUAGAACUUUCUUAAGCUUAAGAGUUUAAGAAUUCCCUUUGUACAAUCCCAGAGUUCAAUUUCUUCUUGAAGUCCAUGUAAUCUAGUGUUUUGUUGUCUCUCCCUUAUUUAUUUAUUUAUUUUUUGUUACAUUGGAGUUCGGACUGGGUGCCAUCAUGCUACCACCACUAUAAUGGGAACCCAUUGGCGUUAUCUCCCUUCUUUACAAACUAUACAUGUAUUCUUCAAGGCUACUGAUUAAUCCCAGAGUUCAAUUUCUUCUCAAUUA